UUCCAAUAAUGUGUUAGAUGGGUUGAACGUGUUUGAUGGAACUAAUGAUCAUUACUUCCACACGGGGUCAAGGGGUCACCACUCGGUGUGGGAUUCUCGCCUUUUUAAUUAUGGAAGCUGGGAAGUACUGAGGUAUCUUCUUUCAAAUGCAAGAUGGUGGCUUGAGGAGUAUAAGUUUGAUGGGUACAGAUUUGAUGGUGUGACUUCAAUGAUGUACAAAAUUUCCUUGAUUAAGUAAAUGUAUUAUUUAUUUGAUUAAGAAAAUGCAUUGUAUGUUUUAUUAUCUUGCAUAUGUAUUAUUUAUUUUAGUUUUGAUUCUAAAUUUUUAUUUUUACUUAAGAGUUCUAACUUUUGGAUUUCAAUUGUGUUAUUAAUUUAUUA
Molecule: RNA transcript, 381 nt
Organism: Gossypium raimondii (Peruvian cotton)
Lineage: Eukaryota; Viridiplantae; Streptophyta; Magnoliopsida; Malvales; Malvaceae
Exons: 2
Source: RefSeq, a predicted model, not a curated record